GAUGAACGCUGGCGGCGUGCCUAAUACAUGCCAGUCGAGCGAACAGACGAGGAGCUUGCUCCUCUGACGUUAGCGGCGGACGGGUGAGUAACACGUGGAUAACCUACCUAUAAGACUGGGAUAACUUCGGGAAACCGGAGCUAAUACCGGAUAAUAUAUUGAACCGCAUGGUUCAAUAGUGAAAGACGGUUUUGCUGUCACUUAUAGACGGAUCCGCGCCGCAUUAGCUAGUUGGUAAGGUAACGGCUUACCAAGGCAACGAUGCGUAGCCGACCUGAGAGGGUGAUCGGCCACACUGGAACUGAGACACGGUCCAGACUCCUACGGGAGGCAGCAGUAGGGAAUCUUCCGCAAUGGGCGAAAGCCUGACGGAGCAACGCCGCGUGAGUGAUGAAGGUCUUCGGAUCGUAAAACUCUGUUAUUAGGGAAGAACAAAUGUGUAAGUAACUAUGCACGUCUUGACGGUACCUAAUCAGAAAGCCACGGCUAACUACGUG
This 497-nucleotide ribosomal RNA is filed under the name uncultured bacterium. RNAcentral describes it as "partial 16S ribosomal RNA". It matches the Rfam family "Bacterial small subunit ribosomal RNA", at positions 28 to 507 of the family's 1533-position model. The record is from RNAcentral.